This 491-nucleotide unclassified non-coding RNA is filed under the name Allium haematochiton. Its description in RNAcentral is "partial external transcribed spacer". Lineage: Eukaryota; Viridiplantae; Streptophyta; Magnoliopsida; Asparagales; Amaryllidaceae. The record is from RNAcentral.
ACCCAACACUGGCACUGCCGUACACUCACCAAUAACUACACACACGAUGCAGUCCGAGGGGCGAAACAACGCCGGUUGACUGCUCAUGGUGUUGCAAAAGUGUGGAUACACAACCUAAAGCGAUCCAAAGUACAACGGAAGCACCUUUUUCCUGGGCCAGACCUUAUAUUACAAGUUACUACAACAAACAUGGCGGGGAAAAGAAUAGGUUCACGAAACCCCCAUGUCACAACCUUUGAAACCAUAAAACCAGCGAGGCAACACAACGGUUAGUAAAAAUAGCAACUCACGAGGUUAUCAAAAUGCCUACAACACGUACGAUUUUUAAGAACCCUUCGGGAAGGGUAACACGGAAAUUAAGUACCGAACCAAAACGGUAGUGGUAGAUUUUUUCCGGAUGUGCUAAGCACCGCGUAGAAAUCCUGCUUACGUUUUGCAGUAACACAUCCACGGAUUCUCCUGCACGAUGGACCAACUAGGACGGUCAUCAG